RNAcentral lists this ribosomal RNA (629 nucleotides) under Salmonella enterica. RNAcentral's name for it is "partial 23S ribosomal RNA". It matches the Rfam family "Bacterial large subunit ribosomal RNA", at positions 711 to 1255 of the family's 2925-position model. The record is from RNAcentral. RNAcentral also lists the same sequence under 2 other names. Lineage: Bacteria; Pseudomonadati; Pseudomonadota; Gammaproteobacteria; Enterobacterales; Enterobacteriaceae.
AGACCCGAAACCCGGUGAUCUAGCCAUGGGCAGGUUGAAGGUUGGGUAACACUAACUGGAGGACCGAACCGACUAAUGUUGAAAAAUUAGCGGAUGACCUGUGGCUGGGGGUGAAAGGCCAAUCAAACCGGGAGAUAGCUGGUUCUCCCCGAAAGCUAUUUAGGUAGCGCCUCGUGAAUUCAUCUCCGGGGGUAGAGCACUGUUUCGGCUAGGGGGCCAUCCCGGCUUACCAACCCGAUGCAAACUGCGAAUACCGGAGAAUGUUAUCACGGGAGACACACGGCGGGUGCUAACGUCCGUCGUGAAGAGGGAAACAACCCAGACCGCCAGCUAAGGUCCCAAAGUCAUGGUUAAGUGGGAAACGAUGUGGGAAGGCCCAGACAGCCAGGAUGUUGGCUUAGAAGCAGCCAUCAUUUAAAGAAAGCGUAAUAGCUCACUGGUCGAGUCGGCCUGCGCGGAAGAUGUAACGGGGCUAAACCAUGCACCGAAGCUGCGGCAGCGAACGUAUCACUUAAAGCGAUUCAGCGGGUUACGAUUGACGGAGCGAAGCGACGUCAAAGCGUAUACAAAGUCGAGUCGGUUUAAGGAUACGUUCGUUGGGUAGGGGAGCGUUCUGUAAGCCUGUGAAG